UUCCUGAUUUGAAGAGCCCUGUGCUUGGCGGUUUCUCGGAGCUGCUUGUCUUGAGUAUGGUUCCCACAUGCUAGUUUCUCACCCAGAUAAGAGUGCCACCUGCAGGUGAAGUUUCCGAAGCCAUGAGAAGGGACUGGCCAGCGAUGCCUGGGCCUGAGAUGAAGUGUUUGAGAUUAGCGUUCGCCUAGGUCUUCCUCCCACCCAGGGCCCCGUUUGCACAGCCUCUCAGGAUCAUGGGUUUCUCUUCUGAGACAGUCUAGCAGUUCCACCCAGUCUGUGUUCUGAAGACCAACACGCCCGUGUGUGUGCGCACACACACAUAAACACACAGUUUUCUCGAGAGCAGGGAUUGAGCUAUCCAUGGCCUUCCCUGAGUUGCUCUGUGUAGUCCCAGGCUAACGCUCCUUUCAGCUCUACACCUGAGGGUCUUUUGGGAGUGGGCUGGCAGAAGUGGGUCAGUGCAUCUGGAAGCCCAAUUUAGUAACCGAGUGGAGGCAGGGGCAUGCUGUCUAUGGUCUUCUAGGCUAAGAAACCCAUUACAAAAGGCACAAAGAACAGAAAAUAGUUGGGCCUCAAAGGCACGGUUUUUCUUCGGUCUCUUCCCUUCAGUUGCUCUGGGUUAGACAGCUACAGUUCUGCUUAGAACCAAAAUAUUGUGACAGUACAGAUCCCUGUUCAUCCCUGGUCCCCAUACUUUGAAUUACUGGUUAUUCAAAGGCUUGACAGAUUAAAAGGUUUCCGUCUACAAAAUGGAGACCUAGGCAGUUGGGAUCACCCCAUCAAUAAAAUGGGUUACCAAUUGGGCCUGGCCAUCAAAAUAGUGCCUAGUGCCCCCACACACAUAAAACAUGAAAUCAGAUCUCUGGGUUCCUGUCUUACAGCCAUGUGUUUGAUUAUCUAUUUAUUUAUUUAUUGGGUUUUUUUUUUGUUUUGUUUUUUUGUUUUUUGAGACAGGGUUCUCUGAAUACCCUUGGUCCUAGUACUUGCUCUGUAGACUAGGCUGGCUUGGAAAUCAGAGCUCUUCCUACCUCUGAUUCUGAGUGCUGGGAUUAAAUGUAUGUGUUCGCAUCGCCCGGCUAGAACGUUUUAACAUUCAUCUGUGUGGAUGUGUGUGUGGAGGUCAGAAAACAACUGGAAGGAGUAUGUUCUCUCCACCGUGAGGUUUCUGAAGAAGGAACUCGGGUCCUCAGCCUUGACAGCAAACUGCCAUCAUCUGCUGAACCAUUCCACUGACCUGUACCUGUGUUUUAAAAAUCAUUUAUCUAAAGCCAUCGAACUAUAAAGUAUACAUCUUACUAAACGGAAAUUAUACAACAACAACAACAAAAAAAAAAAACAAGUUCCCCAGGAGACUCCACAGCACAGUCAGAUGACCAGAAGGAUCACUGACCAGGUCUAAGAGCCCAGGCCAGCUUGCGAAGUCACGGGUGAUGGAGCCCUGGCUCCAUCACAUCCACAUGUUUCUAAUGAGCCUCAAUGGUUCCGAGGGCAACAAGAUGUGGCCCGAAGACAACAUCUCUCUCAGCCUCUGUUUUUCUCCUAGCAACCAUCUGGCCUACGUUUUUAAUUGGCUGGGAAGCGCACGGCGAUUCGCUGCAGACCAGGCUGUCUCUUCAUUGGUCGCCUCCUUCUAGUGGCGCCCGCGGUCCCGCCCCUUUCUCCGAGCUCCUUCGGGAUCGGCCAGCACCUUCGACUAAAUUCUAGUCGCUAUUGGCUGAAGCCUGUGUUCGUAGCCCCGCCUCCUCCCCGUUCUGCGCGCCAAUUGGUGAAGCUGCCCCUUGUCCACGGAGGGAGCGCAGCGCGCGCGUGCGAGCGGCCAGCCGGCUGCAUGGCGCGCUGCGAGCGGCUGCGCGGCGCGGCCCUGCGCGACGUGCUGGGCCAGGCGCAGGGAGUCCUGUUCGACUGCGACGGAGUGCUGUGGAACGGCGAACGCAUCGUGCCGGGCGCCCCUGAGCUGCUGCAGCGGCUGGCGCGGGCCGGCAAGAACACGCUGUUCGUGAGCAACAACAGCCGGCGCGCGCGGCCCGAGCUGGCGCUGCGCUUCGCCCGCCUGGGCUUCGCGGGGCUGCGCGCCGAGCAGCUCUUCAGCUCCGCGCUGUGUGCCGCGCGCCUCCUGCGCCAGCGGCUGUCCGGGCCGCCCGACGCAUCGGGCGCAGUGUUCGUGCUGGGAGGCGAGGGGCUGCGCGCUGAGCUGCGCGCCGCGGGGCUGCGCCUGGCGGGGGACCCCGGCGAGGACCCGCGCGUGCGCGCCGUGCUCGUAGGCUACGACGAGCAGUUUUCCUUCUCCAGGUUGACCGAGGCGUGCGCGCACCUGCGCGACCCCGACUGCCUGCUCGUGGCCACCGAUCGCGACCCUUGGCACCCGCUCAGCGACGGAAGCCGGACCCCCGGUGAGCACGGGACUGGGCGCGGGGAUGUGUGCUGGGACCUGACGCGCUUUUCGGAAUUCCUGCAGCUGCCGCCUGUCGGAUAGUGGCCGAGGACCAGUUUGACACACGAGCCACCUUAGGCUCACUGUAGCUCAGGGAAUUGCAGGUACUGGAAGCCUGGCUGCCGCGGUGGAGACAGCCUCGGGACGCCAGGCCCUGGUGGUGGGCAAGCCCAGCCCUUACAUGUUCCAGUGCAUCACAGAAGACUUCAGCGUGGACCCCGCCCGCACGCUGAUGGUGGGGGACCGCCUGGAGACCGACAUACUCUUUGGCCACCGCUGCGGCAUGACCACCGUGCUCACGCUCACGGGCGUCUCCAGCCUCGAAGAAGCCCAGGCCUACCUGACGGCUGGCCAGCGUGACCUUGUGCCUCACUACUAUGUGGAGAGCAUUGCGGACUUGAUGGAGGGGCUGGAGGACUGAGCCCACCUCCCCUGUUGUUCCCUGAUCCCACAGAUGGAGGCGACGGGCCAUGAGUCACAUUCGGGACCAUGAGCUUUCUGGAGUGGGUGUCUGUACCCCAGUGAAGGGAGGCUGGGAUCCAGGAAGGUUUGUGGGCUUUCACACCCCCCUCCUAGCCGUGGCUGGACACUCUGCUCUUCAGAAGCUGUCCCCCCACAUCUUGAAGGUUCACCCUGGCCUGACCCCACCAGGUGGCCUUAUUUCCUGCCCUGUCACCUCCCUUCCUUGGGCCCCGAAGCCAAAUGAAGAUUUUUUUUUUUCCAACCUUUUAAGUUCCUCCCACUCUCUGGGAUCUCUAGUGCUCUGUCCCUAGAGAUUGUUGGCCAAUCAGAGAUCUAGGGAACUCCAGCCCGUUCCUGGCCUGACCAGGCCUCUGGGAAGAGCUGCUGGCACUGCCGGCCUAUGUCUCAGAGUGGGCCUUUAGUGGAGCAAGUAGGAGCUUAAAGAAUGCCUUGCAUAUCCUGGAACCCCAGAGCACCAGUCAGAGGCUAUGCGUCCAUCAGGACAAUUAACGAUCCCACUGGCCUCUUAGAUGCCAAUUAGAACAAUUUCCAAGUCCAAGAGACUUGUGAACUUUUGACAAUCCUAGCCUGACUGGAUCCUGGGACCAGAUGCUGGUAGCACAGGGUGAUGAAUGCCGGUAUGUAUAGCACUCGGGAGGUUGAAGCAAGAGGAUUGCUGAGUCUGGUGACCGGGAUGGCAGAGUCAGACCUCAUCUCAGACAGAGGGUCAUCCUUCAAGUCACCCCACUCCACAGACUGCUCAGUGGGGCACCUCUGUGGCCCUGGGGUAGUGUGGAGAGGUUCCCACUCAUACCUUAGCACCGUCCAGUGUUGAUGGCUUUUUCGGCUUGGAGGGGGCCCUCCUUUUGUCCCCACCUGCAGUCAGUGUUUGCAGUGCCACCCUCACCUGCCCAUUCCCAGCUAUUUAUUUAUUUAUUGUGUGCCAGUGAAGGUGGGGGUAGGGACCUUCCCACCCCCUCCACCUGUUGUAACCGGUCCUUGAACUUAAUAAAAUGUGAAUUGAAGUGUC
Molecule: RNA transcript, 3923 nt
Organism: Mus musculus (house mouse)
Lineage: Eukaryota; Metazoa; Chordata; Mammalia; Rodentia; Muridae
Gene: Pdxp
Gene name: pyridoxal (pyridoxine, vitamin B6) phosphatase
Exons: 2
Source: RefSeq, marked validated